Molecule: ribosomal RNA, 927 nt
Filed under: Filifactor alocis
Lineage: Bacteria; Bacillati; Bacillota; Clostridia; Peptostreptococcales; Filifactoraceae
Description: bacterial SSU rRNA
Rfam family: Bacterial small subunit ribosomal RNA
Source: RNAcentral
GAUGAACGCUGGCGGCGUGCUUAACACAUGCAAGUCGAACGAACGACUAUUAACAGAACCCUUCGGGGCGAAGAAUAUAGAAGUUAGUGGCGGACGGGUGCGUAACGCGUGGGUAAUCUGCCUUUGUCAAAGGAAUAACUAUUCGAAAGAAUAGCUAAAACCGUAUAACAUAUUAAUAGGGCAUCCUAAUAAUAUCAAAACGAUAGUGGACAAAGAUGAGCCCGCGUCUGAUUAGCUAGUUGGUGAGAUAAAAGCCCACCAAGGCAACGAUCAGUAGCCGACCUGAGAGGGUGAACGGCCACAUUGGAACUGAGACACGGUCCAAACUCCUACGGGAGGCAGCAGUGGGGAAUAUUGCACAAUGGGGGGAACCCUGAUGCAGCAACGCCGCGUGAGUGAAGAAGGCAUUCGUGUCGUAAAACUCUGUAGUAGGGGAAGAAAGAAAUGACAGUACCCUAAAAGAAAGCCCCGGCUAACUACGUGCCAGCAGCCGCGGUAAUACGUAGGGGGCAAGCGUUAUCCGGAAUAACUGGGCGUAAAGGGUGCGCAGGUGGUUUAACAAGUUAGUGGUGAAAGGCAUAGGCUCAACCAAUGUAAGCCAUUAAAACUGUUUAACUUGAGUGCAGGAGAGGAAAGUGGAAUUCCUAGUGUAGCGGUGAAAUGCGUAGAUAUUAGGAGGAAUACCAGUGGCGAAGGCGACUUUCUGGACUGCAACUGACACUGAGGCACGAAAGCGUGGGGAGCAAACAGGAUUAGAUACCCUGGUAGUCCACGCCGUAAACGAUGAGUACUAGGUGUCGGGUGAAGAACUCGGUGCCGAAGUUAACACAUUAAGUACUCCGCCUGGGGAGUACGCUCGCAAGAGUAAAACUCAAAGGAAUUGACGGGACCCGCACAAGCAGCGGAGCAUGUGGUUUAAUUCGAAGC